AUUGAACGCUGGCGGCAUGCUUUACACAUGCAAGUCGAACGGGAACAGGGUGCUUGCACCGCUGACGAGUGGCGAACGGGUGAGUAAUGCGUCGGAACGUGCCGAGUAGCGGGGGGAUAACACAGCGAAAGUUGUGCUAAUACAGCAUACGUACUCAGGUAGAAAGGCGGGGACAGUCGGUCCUCACGCUAAUCGAGCGUAUGACGACUGAUUAGCUAGUAGGGGAGGUAAAGGCUCACCUAGGCGACGAUCAGUAGGGGGUCUGAGAGGAUGAUCCGCCACACUGGGACUGAGACACGGCCCAGACUCCUACGGGAGGCAGCAGUGGGGAAUUUUGGACAAUGGGCGAAAGCCUGAUCCAGCCAUGCCGCGUGUCUGAAGAAGGCCUUCGGGUUGUAAAGGACUUUUGUCAGGGAGGAAAUCCCUAGUGCUAAUAACACUGGGGGAUGACAGUACCUGAAGAAUAAGCACCGGCUAACUACGUGCCAGCCGCCGCAGUAA
This 501-nucleotide ribosomal RNA is filed under the name uncultured bacterium. RNAcentral describes it as "partial 16S ribosomal RNA". It matches the Rfam family "Bacterial small subunit ribosomal RNA", at positions 30 to 523 of the family's 1533-position model. The record is from RNAcentral.